This 194-nucleotide unclassified non-coding RNA is filed under the name plant metagenome. RNAcentral's name for it is "partial contains small subunit ribosomal RNA and internal transcribed spacer 1". The stretch from base 1 to 46 matches the Rfam family "Eukaryotic small subunit ribosomal RNA", at positions 1786 to 1831 of the family's 1831-position model. The record is from RNAcentral.
AAGUCGUAACAAGGUUUCCGUAGGUGAACCUGCGGAAGGAUCAUUAAUGAAUUUAAGGAUGCUCUUUUUAGAGGUCCGAACAAUCAUUACCUUUCUACACUGUGCACACACUACUUUUUUUACACCCAUUUUUUUAACACCAUUAGUAUUAAGAAUGUAUAUCAGUCUCUUAAUUGAGCAUAAAACAAAUAAAA